GACGAACGCUGGCGGCGUGCCUAACACAUGCAAGUCGAACGAGUGGCGAACGGGUGAGUAACACGUGGGUGAUCUGCCUUGCACCUCGGGAUCAGCUUGGGAAAAUGGGUCUAAUACCGGAUAGUGCAAGAUGAGCUCGCGGCCUAUUGGCUUGUUGGUGGGGGAUUGGCGACAAAGGCGCGACGGGUAGCCGGCCUGAGUGGGUUGACGGCCACAUUGGGACUGAGAGACGGCCCAGACUCCUACGGGAGGCAGCAGUGGGGAAUAUUGCACAAUGGGCGCAAGCCUGAUGCAGCCAUGCCGCGUGUAUGAAGAAGGCCUUCGGGUUGUAAAGUACUUUCAGCGGGGAGGCGUUACCCGCAGAAGAAGCACCGGCUAACGCCGUGCCAGCAGCCGCGGUAAUUC
Molecule: ribosomal RNA, 405 nt
Filed under: uncultured bacterium
Lineage: Bacteria
Description: partial 16S ribosomal RNA
Rfam family: Bacterial small subunit ribosomal RNA
Source: RNAcentral